UUUCCGUAGGUGAACCUGCGGAAGGAUCAUUAUCGCAAAGUUGACGCCCGAGUACCGCGACCUGUUUUUUUCCUUCUUGGCGGAGGAAGAAAUGCGCGCGAGGUGUGCGAGGGGGUUCGGAAGUUUCGUUUCGUUCUUCUUGCCUUUUGUGCACAGUACUCACCGUAAUUUACGUUCAUACCUGAAUGCCUGAUACCUCCCUCACUCGUUCCGUCUCACACACGAGCGGAAAAUGGAGAACUAUUCAACGAUAUAACUUUUAACAAUGGAUCUCUUGGCUCUC
RNAcentral lists this unclassified non-coding RNA (283 nucleotides) under soil metagenome. RNAcentral describes it as "partial contains small subunit ribosomal RNA, internal transcribed spacer 1, and 5.8S ribosomal RNA". The record is from RNAcentral.